Molecule: long non-coding RNA, 5759 nt
Organism: Dermacentor albipictus
Lineage: Eukaryota; Metazoa; Arthropoda; Arachnida; Ixodida; Ixodidae
Source: RefSeq, a predicted model, not a curated record
GCGUCCGGAGGCGUGAUGCGUUGCGGCCACGCCCACCGCAGCGCGUGUGCGCGUGAUCGAGAGCUGCGACUUUGCAAAGGCCCGAGAGGCAGCAACGGAGGUGGCGGCACACUAUGCAAGUGAUCCGUUGUGACGUCGUUGCUGUUGGUGUGAAACACCUCCCCCGAUGCUGCUGGCAGGCGAGCCUGAGCGGUUUUGCACGUGCUCGGCCCAAAAGGAUCGCUUCAGUUUCACUGCGGAACGGCGCAGAAGCGCGUCUCCGUGUUUGACCGUCUCCAAGGAAGCAGUUCGCCGGGCAAUAUCUACAUCCGACAUCCAUGGCCAAACUCGCACUCACUAGGCGAGCGUUGCGAGUCACGUGGCCAGGUGGCGACCCGGCCUGCGGAGAGCGCAUGCGCCAAGCCGGCGGCGGCGCCGGCGGAGAUAGGCGCGGCGGGUCACGUGAUGCGCUGCCAAGGCUACGGCGCAGGCGCGGUCAAAUGAAGCGCCUUCUUGGAAGUCUCCGCAAACACCCGCAGUAAGUGCAAAGUCGCCAUGAUCGGAGUAACGAUCUGCCGCCUGCGCGUGCCUCCGCAGCCUUUAAUGGAGCUAUGAGAUGCCUAUACAAGAAACAAAGCAACAAGCAAGCGAGCAACCGAGCAAGCAAGCAAGCAACCAAGCAAGCAAGCAAGCAAGCAAGCAAGCAAGCAAGCAAGCAAGCAAGCAAGCAAGCAAGCAAGCAAGCAAGCGAGCGAGCAAACGAACCAACAAACAAGCAACGAAAGGACUCUCGCCAUUUUUUUUACACCAUCUGGUUGAUGGUGAGGCUUGGGGAGGAGGAAGCUGCAAACUUGAAGAUAUGUUGCUACUUCGGGAGUAUGGUAAUUGUAGUCCGAGUUUGUGAGCAAACAGCUCUGAAUACUUCAACGUGUAACACAUUAUGGUACCAACGUGCAUGUGGGUCGCAGAAGUCUAGAGUGAUUGUGCCUCUACAGACAGCCUAUCGAGGCGCUAGCGCGCUUUCUGUCGAACCUUCUCGACGUUAUUGUUACGGAAGCCAUUUUGUAACGGUAGCAAAAAAGUGAUUCUUACAGCACCCACUACUAGCGUAUCUCACCAAAUCUGCGCCUUCUUUAUCAGGUUAAAUCAAUCAAUCAAUCAAUCAAUCAAUCAAUCAAUCAAUCAAUCAAUCAAUCAAUCAAUCAAUCAAUCAAUCAAUUUAUACAUUUGGAUAUGGUAUGGAAUUAUUCUUGUAUAAGAUACAUAUUGGAGAAGAGCGCUUCCAGGACACAGCUUAGAACAGCUCAUUCUGUCUAGAGCCCGUAAUUGUAUCGUGAUGCGAAGAAAUCCGCGCAGCUCUCAUAAGCGGGUGGAGACUGUGCUUAUACAAUAUCGCACCUCAUAAAUCUAGUUUGAAAAAUCACGGCACGGUCCGCAUGAACGUUCAAAGGGAGAUAAUACUGCUUCGCCGCACAAAGUGCUUCACAAAAGCCAACGUAAUGCAGUCAGGUCCGCUGAAAGCGGCUAUGCCAGGGGAAUGAAACUUUUGAUGGCGCUACCACCCGUGUGUGCAGAAUAUUGAUCAUAUAAACAGAAAGGACAAUGAGUCGCUGUCUGUAUGCUUGCAGUGUGGACUUAACAAUGCAACGAGCAGUGCCAACAUCAACGCUCCUAGCUAAUCACAAUAUAUAUUGAUCUUUCUCCCUCCUUCUCUCACAGACACAAUCUCUCAUUGACGAUAAGACGUAUACGGGCAUACAUACCUCAUCACUCUAAAUGUAAGACGUACCUCAGAGAGAGUGCAAGAAAGUUCUCAUCUGGCAGUUUAAUAAGCAGUGACGAAAAUACGUGCAGAGGCAUAUCACUCCUACAAUAACUUAGGGAAAUAUCGGAAUCGAAAGUAAUGCUAUACAAAAGUUAACACACAAUCCUACAUUCCGUUUAGUUCUGAUAAUUGGAAGUCCAUCAGGCCAGGUUGAACUAUCGAAGCACAACGUCGCAAUAAAACAGUGAGAACACAUGAAGUAUGAUUUUAUGUGCUAGAAUAUAACAAGCAGUAUCCGCAAAGAAGUCACGGAGCCCGUGGAAGGGGCACUUUCGAGGAGCGCCGCAGUCCGUCAUGGGCCUAGCACUUCCGUUAAUGCGAAACGCCUGUUGUCCAGCGAUGUAAGCCUUUCUUUGCUCUCCGCGCGCAGCGGUGGAAAAGGAACAGAGCGAAGUCGGUGCACGCCGGACGGUUGGCCUCAUUUUAGACUCUGGGAGCAGCGCGCACGAAAAAAUAAAUAACGGGGCCGCCCUCGCGGCAGUGGCAAGAAAAAGAAUAUGGCGACCACCGCAUUGGUCUUGUGUCAGCUCUUAAGAGGAAACAUAGAUCGUUCCGCGAGUGUUGGGACCACAUGCAUCACGGGCAAUGAAACUUGGGGAAGCGCGAGAGGGCGGCGAUAGGAGGAGCAGCUAAAAGGGGAGACGGGGAGGAACGGGCGUCGUCGCGAGCGGAAGUGGCUUUCGGGAUGAGUUAUAGGGACGAUCACGCCGCAAGCUCGCGCCCGAAAUUGGCUCCACUUUUUUUGCGUUCCGAAACGCCGUCGAGUCAAUAUUGCGGCCAUACGUCUCGCGCUAUCGUUUCGUCACUUUCUGGCCCAUUCCUAAAUACCAAACACACGAAUGACAGAAUCACGAAUGUUCUUCUCCUUCCAUAUCAAGGGGUGGGUUUAUUAUAUUUCUCUUCUCAGUGCGUUAUUGUACUCCUCUGUGGCAGUAUGUGUAUGACAGAGGCAACGAAUGGAUGGUUCUUGUCAAGUCCGGGCACGCUGUAAAAUGCAGCAGGGGAAGCGGGGCUCAACAGUUGAAAGGUUAAUUCGAACUGUCUCAUCGCCACUUUACUGAAACUUGAAUUUAUUAUUAUUAUUAUUAUUAUUAUUAUUAUUAUUAUUAUUAUUAUUAUUAUUAUUAUUAUUAUUUGGUUUUAACCACAUGCAUACUUCGCAGGAAAUGGCAAGCUAGGAGCAGGCUAGCCACUGCAACAGGAAGGGGCCCCACUCUUUGCUACUCAUAAAAAAGGAAUAGACAGAAAUAUACAUAUUGAAGAUAGCAAGAACGGGAGGAAGGAGGCAGGAAAGAGCAAGAUGAAAAAUCUCAAAUAAUAAAGCGCAACACACACAGUACAGGCCACGCACAAUGCGGCCGGUCACUGCAGGUCACGCUACUAAGGAAUGUUAAAAUAUAUGAAAUAGCGUCUCAGGUCUUGUCAUUUGAACACGGAAAUAAGUUACAACCAUGAACCUAUGUUAGUUAUUUUAGAAAAGUAAGAAGAGCGCGAUGAGCCUGAUGGCGUCGAGAUGCACAACCUCUGGCGCACAAACAUUCGUCGAAUGUCGUGCACCACAGGCCGAGGACGUGAUAGGCCCUCACUAGCGAAGUGCGUUGUGCAAUGAAAGCGGGACACUCCAGUAGCAGGUGCUGAAGUGUCUCGCAGCAACCAUAAGACGUACACGAUGGACUGACCACGCGUCCUUGUCGGCAUAAACGUUCGCACACGUUCACACAGCCCAUUUCUAGCUUGUGUAGUUGUGCUCUAGUGCGAUGAGGCAAGCCUCGACCGUGGAUAGGAACGGGAACGUUCAAAUUGCGACGCGCUGGUCACGCUGCUGCUUCAGUAGGUGGCGACAAAUCAGCAGACGAGCGUCAUCAAGCUUCCACAAAAUUUCUGGGCAGACACAGUCGCUAUGAGGCACAACGUCAGGCACAACGAUAGCCGUACAAAAUCGUUAUCACCGACAGAAGGAAAGAAACAAGCGGAAGCGUUUAACACAUUCUUCCAUUCCGUAUUUGCCCUCGGCAAUGGCAUUACGCAUGCAUACAAGCCAGAAAAUGUGAAGCACAAGGAGACACUGAGCGCUCCAGUCGUAACUGAAGCAGGCGUGUUCGCACUAUUAUAAAAUUUAGACGAUAAAAAGUGCAACGGCCCUGACGGAACCCUGAACUGUUUCCUGAAACGUUAUGCCGAGCCUGUAAGCAAAUACUUAUGCCUUAUUUACAAUAAAUCAAUCUCCGAACAAUGUAUCCCAGCAGGAUGGAAAAUUGCUAAAAUAGUGCCCAUCUAGAAAUCGGGCAAUAUUUCUUGUCAGUCAAAUUAUAGACCUAUUUCUCUCACAUGUACAUGCUGUAAAAUCUUGGAACAUAUUAUCUUAAAAUCUGUUACAGAGUUCAUUGAGGCAAACAAUGUCCUCCAUCCAUGCCAACAUGGCUUCAGGACUAGUCUGUCUACCGUUACUCAAAUCGUUGAGAAAUUACAAGAUUUCGCCAAAGCAAUUAACGACCAGAAACAAAUAGAUGUAAUUUACCUAGACUUCUAAAAGGUCAUUGAUCAUGUCUGCCAUGCUAAACUACUUCUAAAGCUUAACCAUAUACUAGGAGAUGGUCCAAUUUUUUGUUCGAUUAGCAAUUACUUAUCUGACAGCCGCCAGUUUGUUCAGUUAAGCUCCAACGCUUCUGAAACUGUGCAAGUACUUUCUGGUGUACCCCAGGGUUCCGUUUUUGCCCCUAUCCUGUUUCUCUUGUUUAUAAAUGACAUAACUAAUCAGAUUGAAUCCAAGAUUAAAUUAUUUGCAGACGACUGCGUCCUGUAUAGAGAAGUACUAAACCGGCAAGACCAAAUUAGUCUUAACAAGCAUUUUUCUUUGAUGGUACAAUGGUGUGAAAACUGGCAAAUGGCCAUUAGCUUCGAUAAAACAGUUUCAAUGUUAGUAACAAAAAAGAAAUCCAAGCUUACUUUUACAUACGGCUGUGAUAAUACUAUACUUAACACUGUCACUCAGUACAAGUACUUGGGCGUAAUCAAUCAUCAGACUUAGGAUGGUCGGCUCAUGUAGAGCACGUAGCAAGCAAAGCGAUGCGAAAGCUUAUGUUCUUAAAACGGGCCCUGCGGUACUCUACGAAGGAAGCCAAGCUCUUGGCCUAUGUCACAAUCAUACGUCCUGUCUUAGAAUAUGCGAACGUGGCGUGGUUUCCCUUUGCUCGAAAUUAAAUCUACUCUUGAGGCUGUCCAGCGAAAAGCCGCGCUGUUUAUCUGUAACCGAUUUCGGCACACGGACUCGCCUACUCCUAUGCUAUCCGAGAUCGGCCUUCACACACUAAGUAGUCGUGCGAUGCUGUACCGACUCAAAUACUUGUAUCUCAUCCUGAAUAAUAAGGUUCAUGUGGAUUUUAACACCUAUAUUUCCUAUAACACAUUCAGAGAAACACGUCACAAGCAUCACCUUACACUCCAAGAAUAUUCUUGCACUAACAACAUAUUUAAUCUUUCGUUCUUCCCGCGAGCUGUUCGCAAUUAGAAUGCUUUAGCCCAGACGGUAGUCGCACAGCCGAAUGUUGACAAAUUUGUUGAAUUUGUUGGUCCAACAGUACUGUCAUCCACGACUAAGUGAUGUUAUCAACAUUGUCUUUAUCAUUGUAUUAGUUACCAAAUAUUUUUGGAAAUCUGUGAUGUGAAAUGAUGAAUGAUGCUAUCAAGUGUAUAUCCCAUAUGCUUAUCCUUCUUUUCUUCCUUUUUGUCUCUUUGCAAAACAUCACAUGUAAUUGAAACAAGCUCUUUGUGCGUUAUGUUUUUGCCGUACUUAUUGCUGUUAACACAGGUUCAUGAACCUCUACACUUACUUAGUACCCUUUUGUGUUCUUAUGUAAAUGCCUGUAUAACAAUGUCUACAGACCUUUCUAACCCACUCUUGUAAGAAUCCCUGAUGGAAUUGACAGUAUCACAAAAUAUAAAAUAAAAAAAUGAG